RNAcentral lists this ribosomal RNA (602 nucleotides) under Globodera pallida. Its description in RNAcentral is "LSU rRNA". It matches the Rfam family "Eukaryotic large subunit ribosomal RNA", at positions 415 to 853 of the family's 3401-position model. The record is from RNAcentral. Lineage: Eukaryota; Metazoa; Nematoda; Chromadorea; Rhabditida; Heteroderidae.
GGAAACGGACAGAGCUGGCGUAUCUGGUCUGCAUUCAUCCGUGUGUUCUUGGGCGUUUGGAUUGCCACUCUCCAGACUGGGAUGGUGUUCAUUCUGCUCAGGGGCUCAUGGAGCAUUUGCAGGCGGAGUGCGCUGAGAUGCUCGGGACAGCUGCAUGAGCUUGGCUUUGAGGCCAGCCCUUCGGGGUCUGGUACCCGGGCUGUGGGAGUGCUGUUUGUUCUGGGUGCUGAGUGUGUGCAAUGGCAACGGGUCCGUGUUGGUUUGAGCUGGUGGUUGGUGGCGGUCGCGUGCGACACGUGCCGGCAGUCAGUUCGGUCCUGCUCGGGCUCUCAUUGCAUGUUCUCGGUGUAAAAGCCGGUCAUCUGUCCGACCCGUCUUGAAACACGGACCAAGGAGUUUAGCGUGUGCGCGAGUCAUUGGGAGUUGAAAACCCAAGGGCGUAAUGAAAGUGAAGGUCUCCUUGCGGAGCUGAUGUGUGAUCUCGUGCACCCCGGUGUGCGGGCGCAACAUAGUCCCGUCCCGAUCGCAUGCGAUGGGGCGGAGACAGAGCGUACGCGCUGAGACCCGAAAGAUGGUGAACUAUUCCUGAGCAGGAUGAAGCC